GGGCUGGGCUGGGCUGGGCUGCAGGAUGGCACGCGCGGCUCCACCGCCCUCCCCCUUCUUCCUCCCUCC
Molecule: microRNA precursor, 69 nt
Filed under: Notamacropus eugenii (tammar wallaby)
Lineage: Eukaryota; Metazoa; Chordata; Mammalia; Diprotodontia; Macropodidae
Description: miRNA (ENSMEUG00000017553.1)
Source: RNAcentral